RNAcentral lists this ribosomal RNA (514 nucleotides) under uncultured Entrophospora. RNAcentral describes it as "SSU rRNA". It matches the Rfam family "Eukaryotic small subunit ribosomal RNA", at positions 569 to 1078 of the family's 1831-position model. The record is from RNAcentral. Lineage: Eukaryota; Fungi; Glomeromycota; Glomeromycetes; Entrophosporales; Entrophosporaceae.
AGCAGCCGCGGUAAUUCCAGCUCCAAUAGCGUAUAUUAAAGUUGUUGCAGUUAAAAAGCUCGUAGUUGAAUUUCGGGACUGACACAUCGGUCGUGCCUUAAGGGGUAUGAACUGGUGUAGUCAAUUUCUCACCUUCUGGAGAACCGCGAUGCCCUUAAUUGGGUGUCACGGGGAACCAGGACCUUUACUUUGAAAAAAUUAGAGUGUUUAAAGCAGGCAUUUUGCUUGAAUACAUUAGCAUGGAAUAAUAAAAUAGGACGGCAUGAUUCUAUUUUGUUGGUUUCUAGGAUCACCGUAAUGAUUAAUAGGGAUAGUUGGGGGCAUUAGUAUUCAAUUGUCAGAGGUGAAAUUCUUGGAUUUAUUGAAGACUAACUACUGCGAAAGCAUUUGCCAAGGAUGUUUUCAUUAAUCAAGAACGAAAGUUAGGGGAUCGAAGACGAUCAGAUACCGUCGUAGUCUUAACCAUAAACUAUGCCGACUAGGAAUCAGACGAUGUUAAUUUUUUAAUGACUCG